This 358-nucleotide unclassified non-coding RNA is filed under the name Hevea brasiliensis (rubber tree). The record is from RNAcentral. Lineage: Eukaryota; Viridiplantae; Streptophyta; Magnoliopsida; Malpighiales; Euphorbiaceae.
GGAGUAUUAACAAUGGUAGCUGCACAAGGGUGUUCAAGGGUGGGACGGCCCAGGUGAGAUUCCAGCCUCGCAUUGGUAGAUAUCUUGCUGCUGCUGCCGAGAACGUUGUAUCAAUACUUGAUGUGGAGACACAAGCUUGUCGGCAUUCGUUAAAGGGCCACACAAAACCAAUCCAUUCUGUCUGCUGGGAUCCCUCAGGCGAGCUCCUAGCAUCUGUUAGUGAAGACUCUGUAAGGGUUUGGACAUUGAGAUCGGGUAGUGAAGGUGACUGUCUACAUGAGCUUAGUUCAAAUGGCAACAAAUUCCACUCGUGUGUUUUCCACCCUGCGUAUUCGUCUUUGCUAGUUAUCGGCUGUUA